CUUGGUUUUCACCUUGAUCCAAAAUUAACCUGGAACCCCCACAUUGAAGUCAUCUGCAAGAAACUAUCACGGGUGAUUUUCUUAUUAAGGCAGCUUAUGCUCAUUGUGCCAAAGAACUAUGUCAAGACAGCCUAUUUCUCAUUCUUCCAAGGAAUCAUGUUGUAUGGCCUUGAACAUUGGGGUGCAGCUAGUGGAGUUAAUA
This is a long non-coding RNA of Nilaparvata lugens (brown planthopper), 202 nucleotides long. RefSeq lists it as uncharacterized. Lineage: Eukaryota; Metazoa; Arthropoda; Insecta; Hemiptera; Delphacidae. The record is from RefSeq and is a predicted model, not a curated record. The transcript has 3 exons.